RNAcentral lists this ribosomal RNA (696 nucleotides) under Triticum aestivum (bread wheat). RNAcentral's name for it is "partial small subunit ribosomal RNA". The record is from RNAcentral. Lineage: Eukaryota; Viridiplantae; Streptophyta; Magnoliopsida; Poales; Poaceae.
AUGGAGGACUUCGUGCUGAGCUACGUGGUGACCGGGCUGGCCUUCUGGUCGACGGCGUUCUUGGUGAUGCGGGCGCUGAUGCCGAAGCGGUCCUACGAGUUCUGCAACCGCGCCGUCUCCACCAUGCACGCCGUCGCCGCCGUCUGCAUGGCCUGCCUCUCCGUCCAGGAGUGGUCCUGCCCCGUCUGCCCCCUCAACGCCCCCUCCUCGCCGCGCCAGAUGAAGUCUCUGGCAGUGACGCUCUCGUACAUGAUCUACGACGCGGCGUGCUGCCACCUCAACGGCGACGUGCGGCUCGACAACACCGUGCACCACCUGGUGAGCAUCGUCGGCAUCGGCGCCGGCCUCGCCUACCAGAGGUGCGGCACGGAGAUGAUGGCGUGCAUGUUCAUCACGGAGAUCUCCAGCCCGCUGCUGCACCUCAGGGAGAUGCUCAAGGAGCUCGGCGUCAAGGACACGGACCUCAACCUCCUCGUCGAUAUUCUGUUUGCGGCGACCUUUUCGGUGGGACGGAUGGUUGGUGGACCGUACCUCACCUACGUCACCUUGACAACAGACUACCCCAUCCUCAUCAAGGCGAUGGCUGCGGGUUUGCAACUGGUGAGCGCCUACUGGUUCUUGAGGAUCCUCAGGAUGGUCAGGUACAAGCUCGGGAAGAAGAGGCCGGCGGCGGCGGCCAAGGUCACUGCCAAGUGA